Molecule: transfer RNA, 73 nt
Organism: Sus scrofa (pig)
Lineage: Eukaryota; Metazoa; Chordata; Mammalia; Artiodactyla; Suidae
Rfam family: tRNA
About the family: Transfer RNA (tRNA) molecules are approximately 80 nucleotides in length. Their secondary structure includes four short double-helical elements and three loops (D, anti-codon, and T loops). Further hydrogen bonds mediate the characteristic L-shaped molecular structure. tRNAs have two regions of fundamental functional importance: the anti-codon, which is responsible for specific mRNA codon recognition, and the 3' end, to which the tRNAs corresponding amino acid is attached (by aminoacyl-tRNA synthetases). tRNAs cope with the degeneracy of the genetic code in two manners: having more than one tRNA (with a specific anti-codon) for a particular amino acid; and 'wobble' base-pairing, i.e. permitting non-standard base-pairing at the 3rd anti-codon position.
Source: Rfam
UCCCUGGUGGCCUAGCUGUUAAGGAUUCAGCAUUGUUAUUGCUGUGGCUCAGGUUCAGUCCCUGGCCUGGGAA